AUUGAACGCUGGCGGCGUGCUUAACACAUGCAAGUCGAACGCGAAAGGGACUUCGGUCCUGAGUAAAGUGGCGCACGGGUGAGUAACGCGUGGAUAAUCUGCCCUUAUGAUUGGAAUAACAGUUGGAAACGGCUGCUAAUACCGGAUACGCUCAAAAUGAACUUUUUGAGGAAAGAUGGCCUCUGCUUGCAUGCUAUCGCAUAAGGAUGAGUCCGCGUCCCAUUAGCUUGUUGGCGGGGUAACGGCCAACCAAGGCAACGAUGGGUAGCCGAUUUGAGAGCAUGAUCGGCCACACUGGAACUGAAACACGGUCCAGACUCCUACGGGAGGCAGCAGUGGGGAAUAUUGCGCAAUGGGCGAAAGCCUGACGCAGCGACGCCGCGUGAGGGAUGAAGGUUUUCGGAUCGUAGACCUCUGUCAGAAGGGAAGAAACUACGUUGUGCUAAUCAGCAGCGUACUGACGGUACCUUCAAAGGAAGCACCGGCUAACUCCGUGCCAGCCGCCGCGGUAA
Molecule: ribosomal RNA, 512 nt
Filed under: uncultured bacterium
Lineage: Bacteria
Description: partial 16S ribosomal RNA
Rfam family: Bacterial small subunit ribosomal RNA
Source: RNAcentral